Molecule: ribosomal RNA, 253 nt
Filed under: uncultured bacterium
Lineage: Bacteria
Description: partial 16S ribosomal RNA
Rfam family: Bacterial small subunit ribosomal RNA
Source: RNAcentral
UACGGAGGGUGCGAGCGUUGUUCGGAAUCACUGGGCGUAAAGGGCGUGUAGGCGGUCCGCUAAGUCUGAUGUGAAAGCCCGGGGCUCACCCCCGGAAGGGCAUUGGAAACUGGCGGACUCGAGUCCCGGAGAGGAAGGUGGAAUUCCUGGUGUAGCGGUGAAAUGCGUAGAUAUCAGGAGGAAUACCCGUGGCGAAGGCGGCUCUCUGGAACGCAACUGACGCUGAGACGCGAAAGCGUGGGGAGCAAACAGG